AUACGUAGGUGACAAGCGUUAUCCGGAUUUACUGGGCGUAAAGGGCGUGUAGGCGGUCUUGCAAGUCAGAUGUGAAAUUCCGGGGCUCAACCCCGGCACUGCAUCUGAAACUGUGUCUCUUGAGUGCUGGAGAGGAAAGCGGAAUUCCUAGUGUAGCGGUGAAAUGCGUAGAUAUUAGGAGGAACACCAGUGGCGAAGGCGGCUUUCUGGACAGUAACUGACGCUGAGGCGCGAAAGCGUGGGUAGCGAACAGGAUUAGAUACCCUGGUAGUCCACGCCGUAAACGAUGGAUACUAGGUGUAGGAGGUAUCGACCCCUUCUGUGCCGGAGUUAACACAAUAAGUAUCCCACCUGGGGAGUACGGCCGCAAGGCUAAAACUCAAAUGAAUUGACGG
This 395-nucleotide ribosomal RNA is filed under the name uncultured bacterium. RNAcentral describes it as "partial 16S ribosomal RNA". It matches the Rfam family "Bacterial small subunit ribosomal RNA", at positions 523 to 916 of the family's 1533-position model. The record is from RNAcentral.